This 166-nucleotide unclassified non-coding RNA is filed under the name uncultured Sebacina. RNAcentral describes it as "sequence contains ITS1". Lineage: Eukaryota; Fungi; Basidiomycota; Agaricomycetes; Sebacinales; Sebacinaceae. The record is from RNAcentral.
UAGAUUGUGAAUCGGUUGCCUCCUGUGCUGGCUUUUGCAAGUGCACGGUGGUGACUUUCCUCCACCCCCUGUGAACCUUUGGCCUCUUGCUGGCCUUGGCUGGCAGAGGAUUUUUACACAAACUCGAAUGUAAUGAGAAAUACUGUUGUGCGCAAGCACGAAUGUA